UCAUGUAGGUAGUGAGCACAAAAGGAAGCAAAAAGAUGCAUAUCAAGAUCCAUUUACAGCCAUCUCUGGUGAUGCCUUCGGUAUCAAUGGGCCAUCAUCUCCAUGUUGUCCGUUAUCCGGAGAACCACACAAGCCAUCUGUAAAGCACCUAGGAGAAACUUCUUCUUGGUCAGCAAGAUUGUCCACAUCUGAGCUCUUCCCCU
Molecule: long non-coding RNA, 203 nt
Filed under: Coffea arabica (coffee)
Lineage: Eukaryota; Viridiplantae; Streptophyta; Magnoliopsida; Gentianales; Rubiaceae
Description: long non-coding RNA (CARA_LNC003451)
Source: RNAcentral